This 759-nucleotide long non-coding RNA is filed under the name Numida meleagris (helmeted guineafowl). RNAcentral describes it as "lncRNA (ENSNMEG00000004169.1)". Lineage: Eukaryota; Metazoa; Chordata; Aves; Galliformes; Numididae. The record is from RNAcentral.
AUGUCCCCAACCAUUGGGUGUCCAUGUCCCCAUUUCCAUCCCAACAUCCCCAGCCACUGGGGUCUCCAUCUCCAUCCCAACGUCCCCAACCAUUGGGUCCCCAUGUCCCCACCCCAGUGUCCCCAACCACUGGGGUCUCCAUGUCUCCAUUUCCAUCCCAAUGUCCCCAACCAUUGCGUCCCCAUGUCCCCACCCCAGCGACCCCAACCAUUGGGGUCCCAAUGCCCCCAUUUCCACCUCAACAUCCCCAACCACUGGGGUCUCCAUGUCCCCAUUUCCAUCCCAACGUCCCCAACCAUUGGGGUCUCCAUGUCCCCAUUUCCAUCCCAACGUCCCCAACCAUUGGGGUCUCCAUGUCCCCAUUUCCAUCCCAACGUCCCCAACCAUUGGGGUCUCCAUGUCCCCAUUUCCAUCCCNGGGAUGGAUACGGGGUGGAUACAGGAUGGAUACGGGAUGGAUACGGGGUGGACACAGGGUGGGUAUGGGAUGGAUACGGGGUGGACACAGGAUGGAUAUGGGAUGGAUACGGGGUGGACACAGGAUGGAUAUGGGGUGGACAGAGGAUGGAUAUGGGGUAGAUAUGGGGUGGACAGAGGAUGGAUAUGGGGUGGAUAUGGGACGGAAUUGGGUGGAUAUAUGAUGGACAUGAGGUGGACAAGAGGUGGACAUAGGAUGGACAUGAGUUGGAUGGAGAUAGGAGGAAUAUGGGAUGGAUGUGGGAUGGAUAAAAGAUAUGGGAUGGCUGUAGGAUGGAUAUGA